RNAcentral lists this long non-coding RNA (9511 nucleotides) under Podarcis lilfordi (Lilford's wall lizard). Lineage: Eukaryota; Metazoa; Chordata; Lepidosauria; Squamata; Lacertidae. The record is from RNAcentral.
GCGGUGACGGGCGGAAGUGGCGGAGUGAAGGAAGAGGAGCACGUGGCGCUGGUCUGUCUUCAACCAUGUGGGGCUGCCCAUUUUGUGUGCUGGUUUCUCGGGGGGGGGGGGGUGGGAAACUGCCUAGCGAGGUGGGAGACAAGGAUCCAGCACUCUGCAGACUUACCUGGCAGUAAGCCCCCUAGAUCACAGCGCUGUAAAGAUGUGUUGGUGGAGAAGUGGGUGCUUUAGGAAUUGGGCUUCAUCUAUGCAUGACUAUUAACUGGGUUCAGUGGGGUUUACUUCCCGGAAAGUACGCGCGUGCUUGCAAGCAUCUAGGUGAAGCAGAGAUUUGGAGAGGCUGGAGGGGGAUUAGGGACCCGCUGGGUUGAGGGACGCGUGUGCGUUCCUCAUCCUCGGUUGGAGAGUCAAAACCGAAAGACAUUAGGUCAAGCCUGGAGACAGGCAAUCAGUAUUUAUUCUGUAGCUAUCUGCUGCAUGGUUCUAGUAUGGUUCUAGCACACAGUGUUCCGGACUGAAGAGGCUGAUCUAGGGUAGUUGGCCAGGGGCAGGAAUAAACGGGGGUGGGGGGGCAUGUGUAGUAGAUACCAUGCCUAAGCCUGGGAUCAGAAGGAAUUGUAUUGUAUCCUAGGCAAAGCAUUCAGGCACGUUUUUCUUCCAGAAGUGCGACAAAAUUAUGCCUUCUCCACAAUGGGUGAUCCUUUCUUUGAAAGGAAGCAGCUUUGGGGGAAGACCAUGUGGUAGACCAUGUGCUUUGCAUGUAAAAAGUUCCAGGUUUGAUGCCAAGCGCUUCCAGGUAGGGCUGGAGAAAUCCCCUGUUUGAAAUACUGCCAGUCAGCAUAGAUGGUACUGAGUUAGAUAUGUAGACCAUGAUCUGACUUUUCAUAAGACUGCUUCCUUUAUUCCAACAUGUUGGGGAAAUAUUGUGUAUUUAAGGCUGUGUACACGCCAUACAUUUAAAGCACAUCCCCCCCUCCCCAAAGAGUCAUUGGAAUGGUAGUUUGUUAAGGGUGCUGGGAAUUGUAGUGCAGUGAGGGGUAAACUAUAGUUCCUGGGAGCCUUUGGGGGUGGUGGGUGGUGAAUAUGCAGCUUAGGCAAUGUGAAUUUAUUUGGAGAUUGUAUUAACAUAUAGGAUUUGGGAAUUCAGUUUCAAUCUCCUUUUUCCUCUUUGAGUCAUUAGAUGGAAUAUGGAGUUCUGGGCACCUUUAAUUUGAUCUGUGCUGAAAAUAUUCCAAAGCCAUCAGCUCAUCGGAAAUAUCUAGGGUGAAUGUAUUCUGUGUGCUGCUGCUGCUAAAGAAUGCUGGGUAGAAAACAAGCAGAAUCCGCCUGCUGGAAAUUCUACACAGUUUAGCUGACCACACUGUGAAAUCUAUUUGUCAAGGCAAACAUUUCGCUUUGCUAACAGAUGGUGUUCCUUUUCUCCCUCCUCCCAGCAAGUAAAAUAAUACCACUUCAGAAUUGUUUUAAAUGUUUCAACAAGUUUCAUUUUCAGUCUUCUUUUAAUUGCAACUCUUCUCUCGGCACCUGAAGCUUGCAAAAUUGAGAUGGUUACUGUUCACUUUUAAAAAUGAAUCUGAAGUUGCUUCCCUGCCCUUCCCCCCCUCCCCCAUCCACAUGGGGAAGGCAAAGAAGUUGUUGGAUGAUUUUAAUAGAAUCAUAUAAUUGGAAGGGACCAUCAAGUCCAGCCCCCGUCAGUGCAGGAAUAUUUUGCACAACGUGGGGCUUGAACACACGACCCUGAAAUUAUUAUUUCAGUAUCCUUUUCAGUGCCGGAUUUACGUACUAUAUAACCUAAAGCUUAGAGCCCCACUCCAAAAAAACCACAAAACCUGGAUGUACAUUUCCAAAAUAUAAGAUAAAAAGCAAAUAAAACUUACAUACAGCAACAGUGUUUUGUGUGGUGUAGGCUCCUAUGAUGUAAGUAAUGGGCCUCGCCUGCUAGCCUGCUCCCUAAAACAUCACUGGUUUGCUCAUUUCUAUAUACAGUGGUACCUCGGGUUACAGACGCUUCAGGUUACAGACUCUGCUAACCCAGAAAUAGUACCUCGGGUUAAGAACUUUACUUCAGGAUGAGAACAGAAAUCAUGUGGUGGGUUAAGAACAGACCUCUGGAACAAAUUAAGUUCUUAACCAGAGGUACCGCUGUUUAGGGUGCCUACAUUCUGCAUGAAGGUCGGCGGUUCGAAUCCCCGCGACGGGGUGAGUUCCCGUUGCUCGGUCCCUGCUCCUGCCAACCUAGCAGUUCCAAAGCACAAUAGUGCAAGUAGAUAAAUAGGUACCGCUCCAGCGGGAAGGUAAACGGUGUUUCCCGUGUGCUGCUCUGGUUCACCAGAAGCGGCUUAGUCAUGCUGGCCACAUGACCCGGGAAGCUGUACGCCAGUAAAGCGAGAUGAGCGCCUGAACCCCAAAGUUGUCUGCAACUGGACCUAAUGAUCAGGGGCCCCCUUUACUUUGCAUUCUGCAUGGACUUUUCAACAAUUACUUUGAUAAAAUACAUAUUUUGUUAUGUGCAAAUGGCUUGAGAUACCUAUUAGGUCCAUCAAUUACUAUAUAGCAUAUAUUCCACACAAAAAACAGCGACAAUUUGUUGUUGACAAAGGACAGCUGCACAUAUAAAGGGCCCGUUAUCACCAGUAGCUUAGGGCCUCAUCAAACCUAAAUCCGGCCCUGAUCCUAUAAUUAGAGAGUUCAAAGGAUUGCAUGUGUAAAGUUGUAAUUCAUGUUCUUAAGAACAGGCAAGGCUUGGCCAUUUGAUGCUUCCUUAAAAGUGGAUCGUUUCCAGGCAGGCACACGUGUAUAUGUAUAUGUUUAUCUUUACCUGCUACCUGUUCCUUUUAGCUGUAGAUGCCAGGUAUUGAACCUAGAACCUUCUGUACACAGAGUACAUUAUUUAUUUAUGGUGUGGGCAGAAGGCAGGUGAGAAUUGACUGUCAACUCUGGGUGAUUGGAAGCAGGCUGGUGAGGGCUUCUGGCUCACAGCCACCCACCGCCACAAACUGGGUAGGUAACAAUGGAGAAGUAUUCCCAGUCUGUGAAGGGGUCAAGCCAGUACCUUGCCUUGGGCUGCAAGCAGCAUGAUGUGAUGUGCCCGUAUAAUCCAGUCUCAGUUGACUAGCAGCCAUUGACUGCAAUACAUGAGGUUUCUAUAAUGUUUUUUGAAGGGCAGCCCCAUGUACAAAGCACUGCAGUAUUCAAAAAGGGAGUUUACUAUACCAGGGAUGGAGAACCGAGGCAAAGCUAGCUCUCCUUGCCCAGGUAGGGGCUAAUAGCCAUGAUGGCUAAACCUAUGUCCCCACUGGGGAAGGACGUGUGGAUCCAGAAUAGGCCUCUACUGUCACUUACGGACUCGCUGUUAAGACCGUAUUCAUGGAAGACCAUCUUUCUUGAGCUAGAGUAAUAAUCCACCAACGAAAUUGGGAUGUGGAACUUCAAUGCCACGUGAGCUUGAUGAAUAAACACCCAGCAAUAAAAGAUAACGGGAGAGGAUUUACCCCAGCAAAUUAUCUGUCAAAAUUACAAAUACCCAAAUACAGACGGUCAUUUACCCUCGCUAGAUUCAACGUGCUGCCAUCUGCCUUAUUGCAGGGCAGAUUCGAGGGUAAAUAAUAAGCGGAACGAGUCUGCCGCUGUGAAUUGAUGGAGGUAGAAACUGUCUCUCAUGCCUUGUUAUGCUGCUGUUUCUACAGGGAUAUACGCUCGGUAUUUAUUACCCCUGCUAUGCAAAAAUCUCCAAAUGAAUCCAAACUUCUAAAAUCCCUGGUAGAGGACAAGGAUCCUGAGAUCACGUUAAGGUAGCCAAAUUCUGUGCAUUUGCCAUAAAACUUAGGGAACAAGCUGCUAUCAUAAUGAUUAAGGCCUUAAAUGAUAAUUUUAGGUUAUAUGUUAGUUUUACUUUAUAUAUUUUUAAACUGUUGCUACAUCUGUAUUAUCUCUGUUAUACCUAAUUGCAAUUUUAAAUGUAUUCCUAUCCUGUUUUAUUACUUCUUUGAUAUUGUAUGUGGGCUAGAACUGGUCUGUGACCGAAAUAAUAAAUUAAUUCACAAUCUUUUUUUUUAAAAAAAAAUAAUAUUUAUUACUUUUCCAACAAUUUAAACACUACAAAAACAAUACAAUACAAUACAAUACAAUACAAUACAAAAACACUACAUAACACUAACACAUUAAACUAACAAAACAAAAACAAUUAAACACAUUUCAAUAUCUUAUCUUUCAUUCACUUAUUUCCACGACCUCCUCACACCUCCCUUUUGGUAUUCCACUUCUGUUAAUUAUUUCAGCAAUUCCUUUCCAUCUUCCUCUGUUUUCUAUCCUAUAAUUAUCUUAACAAAUUCUAACCUUAUUUUUUCCUUUAAUUCUCUAUUCAUCUAUUUAUACUUAAUUCCUUAUAACAUUUCUACUAAAGCCAUAUAACUUCAUUCCAACAUUUUUCUAACAUUCAUUAAUUUUACAAUAUUUCUGUAAAUAGUCUUUAAACUUUUUCCAGUCUUCUUCCACUGACUCUUCUCCCUGGUCUCGGAUUCUGCCAGUCAUUUCCGCCAGUUCCAUAUAGUCCAUCAACUUCAUCUGCCAUUCUUCCCAGGUGGGUAAAUCUUGUGUCUUCCAAUACUUCGCAAUGAGUAUUCUUGCUGCUGUAGUUGCAUACAUAAAAAAAGUUCUAUCCUUCUUUGGCACCAAUUGGCCGACCAUGCCCAGGAGAAAGGAAUUAAUUCACAAUCUUUCAUGGCGAUGAGUGAUCACCGAGGAAGAAGAAAAGAAGAAGGUCUGCCUCCACGGUGGGAGGCAAAAAAAGAAGAAGAAAAAAAGCCUCCAGAUACCACUUGCUGGAAGCCACAGGAGCAUAGAGGGCUCUUAUGCUUGGAUUCUGCUUGUGAUUUCCCCACAGGCUUCUGGAUGGCCACUGUGAGAACAGGAUGCUAGACUAGAGAGGCCUUUCUUCUUAGGUUCUUAUAAGCUGCAGAGCAGGAAAGAACAUAUUGGAUCAGGAAAACUGAGCAGGGGGCAGGAUAGAAUUGUAGAACAUGGGGCUGUAGAGCUGGAAAGGGCCCUCCUAGGGUCAUCUAGUCCAACCCCCUGCAAUGCAUAUCCAUUUAAAUUAAGCAGCCAGGUGCUAGAAUCUGAAAUUGGACCAGACCUUAUGCAGCUUAGGUUUGGCAAGAGGCAAGGCUAAUCAAUGCCUAUAUGGGAAAGAAUAAAUGCUUAGGUACAUGCAGUGCUUUUUUCCUGGGGGUACACAGGGGUCCGCAUACCCCUCAACAUUUUGUGAAACUAAGUUUAGCUUAAUUGAGGGGCAGUAUUUCAAUAUGAGUAGGAAAAUGAGAGUACCCCUAAACAUUUUUUUAGAAAAAAGAGAGCACUGGGUAUAUGUACUUAAUUUCAUUUUUUAAUUGUUCUUCUUAAAGUUUUUCCUUGGUUGCAAAAGUACAUAGGGCAUCUCUGCUUUCAGUUCAUAGAGUUCUUCUACGGAUCAUUCAUAUUCAAUGUGAGGCACUAAUGUUAUAGACAGCAUAAAGAUGGGGGAGAAAAGAGAAGGGGAGAGAGAGCGGGGGGAGUAAACUUUCAUUCUAUUCCUCAAUUUCAUUUGUUGAGGACUUGAUUGCAAACCAGAUGUCUGGUCAGGAGGGUGACCAAGGAUUACGGAGAGAAACACUUGCUCAGUAAAGACUCAGUUGGGCCACUGCAUAUGGGGCUGUGCAGAUCAAGCAGUGCCCAUCAUCAGGGCGGUACUGAGAAAAAACCCUCCACUAGCUCCAUUAAGGCUUCCUCUUCAUCAAAGGUCACUUGGGAGUUGUUGUUGUCAUUUAGUUGUUUAGUCGUGUCCGACUCUUUGUGACCCCCUGGACCAGAGCACACCAGGCACUCCUGUCUUCCACUGCCUCCCGCAGUUUGGUCAAACUCAUGCUGGGAGCUUCGAGAACACUGUCCAACCAUCUCGUCCUCUGUCGUCCCCUUCUCCUUGUGCCCUCCAUCUUUCCCAGCAUCAGGGUCUUUUCCAGGGAGUCUUCGCUUCUCAUGAGGUGGCCAAAGUCUUGGAGCCUCAGCUUCAACGAUCUGUCCUUCCAGUGAGCACUCAGGGCUGAUUUCCUUAAGAAUGGAUGAAGUCCUUCAUAAUAUUCCAUUUAAAUCUCACACCAGGAGUUUCAUCAGGCCUGCCACAAUAAAGCCAGAACUGGGAUGGAUGUGUGGUCAGACGCAGGAAGGCCUUUGAUUCUUCACUGCCUUUGGUUAGAUUUCCAGGUGCUCAUUCUUCUUUUCCACUAGGUGGCAACAGGCGGCUGCAUUAUGACCAUUAGCUCAGAGCCUCUGCUGAAGAGGGUGUUGGAAGCUGCAUUGUGAAAGCGACAGGUUAUUUGAGAAGAAGGAGGAGUGCUGAAAACAAAAGCAAAUCAACUGAAUAAACUUAAAAACAAAAGCAAAUCAAUUGAAUAAGCUUUUCAACAGGAGCAGAUAGGCAGGUGGGCUUUGUGGAGCAGAGGAGGGGGGCAUGUGAGUCAAGCGGAUAAUGGAAUCCUGAUUAGUUUACCUGUCAAACAUAUAAUAAUAAUAAUAAUAAUAAUAAUAAUAAUUUUUUAUUUAUACCCCGCCCUCCCCAGCCAAGGCUGGGCUCAGAGCAGCUUACAAGCAAUAAUAAAAACAAGAUGAAUGAUUACAACUUAAAAACAAAAAUAAAAUACAACAUUAAAAUAAUGGAACAUUAAAAUAUUAAAAUGUAGCCUCAUUGCAGGAGGAGAAGGAAAAGAAAAAAGAGAGGGAGGGAAUCAAAUUGGCUCCAAGCCAAAGGCCAGGCGGAACAACUCUGUCUUACAGGCCCUGCGGAAAGAAAUCAGAUCCUGCAGGGCCCUGGUCUCAUGAGGCAGAGCGUUCCACCAGGCCGGGGCCAGUGUUGAAAAGGCCCUGGCUCUGGUUGAAGCCAAUCUAGCUUCCUUAGGGCCCGGGACCUCUAGGGUGUUGUUAUUUAUGGACCUUGAGGCUCUCCGUGGGGCAUACCGGGAGAGGCGGUCCCGUAGGUACGUGGGUCCUAGGCCGUGAAGGGCUUUAAAGGUCAAAACCAGCACCUUAAAUCUGACCCUGUACUCCACCGGGAGCCAGUGCAGCUUGAAAAGCACUGGGUGAAUAUGCUCCCAUGGCAAAGACCCCAUGAGGAGCCUCGCUGCAGGAAACUGGUGGUGGGAAAAAAGGCCAACUGAUUUAAAAGGAUGUUUAUAUGCACCUAUGCAAAACUGUCUUAUCUCUGCAUCGGUGGCUUUCAGAUUUCUUAGCUUCAGGGAUCCCCUCUGCCCAGAAACAUGCAGAUAUGGGAAGUAUUUUGUGGCCUCAUUUUACAGCAGGGCUCCUUGGAUCUUCUUCGCUUUCUCUUAGGAGAAUCCACCCAGCUCCUCCACCCAGAAAGCCAGAGCGAAAGGGCAAGGCUGCCUCUGAGCACAUGCUGAGCCUAUGAAUUGCUUCCCAGAUGCAUAGAAAAUCAAAGCAAGUAUUAAUCAGCCUUUUGCUAGUUUAUAUUUCUAAAAGUCUUAAAUAGUUAUUAAUUCUUCUUAUUGAUAAUUUUAUUGCUUUGUCUUUUUGGUAAAUCACUUCUGAGGUUUUUUUUUUUUAAAAUAACAAGUGAUGUAUAAAUUGUAUGAAAUAAAUUAAUGGAAGCCCACUCCUGACUCACGUUCUUCGUGAACAGCCCUUGGCGGGCAGAGAGGAGCAAGUAGACCAGACCAUGCAGGGGGCGCUUGCAUAAGUGCGCCUGGUUCACGCGCCCUCCAAAAUUGUGUGCCUGGGACCACAGUCUCCCUGGCACCCCUCACGCUAUGCCCCUGGUCAGACCUUCUGGUCCAUCCUGCUCAGUAUUGCCUACACGGACUGGCAGCAGCUCUCCAGGGUUUCAGACCAGGGACUUUACCUGUCAGUUUGCACUUCUUAGUGCAGAAAGUAUUGAUCUGAUAUGUGAUUGAUCUUUCCUAUUCUAAUUAAUUCAGGAGGGUUCUGGAAGCUUCUCUGUGUGAAAGAAGCAAGCAGGAGGUUCAUGAUGUUUGGGCUAUUCCUUUGGAGAAGCUGAGCGCAGCUGGUUUCAACUGGCUCUGUUAUCUCUUUCUGUCAAGGUCGUGCUGACUAUAAUAAGAGGCCAGAAGGGGUUUCACACUUUAUCUAUCUCUCUUCCUGCUGGUGUUGUGUUCUGUACAUAGAUAGUGUUAAGAUUUAGACUUAUUGUAAGUUUAAGUUAAGUCUGCUGCAACUGGAUUUCUUAUGGACGGUGCCAAUCCUGAAUGCAUUGGAUUUGUGACCAUUAUGCUCAUUUGCCUUCAGUAGCAGUAAAGCUCUGCCGGAUGAAAUAUCAAAUGCCUCUGGUCUAUUUUUGGGGAAUCCUGUUUAAGCUUUUACUCUGCUAACUAUACGUUGGAAUCCGCUCUGGAUCAGUAUUGAGUAGAAUUCCAUGACGGUGCCACGCAGCUAUGGCCCGUCAAGGAAAAGAAUUCGUCUGUGUUUGACUCAGAGCAGACAGACUGAAAUGAAUCAGUGAGGUCCAUUAAUUUCUGAGAAAAACGUGGUUGACUACUACCCUCUUAUCACUACUGUUUCCUCAAACACCCCUAGUUUUGAGAACACCCCACUAGUCUGAGAUUCAGCAACUACUUGGGUGAGUUUUUCCAUGUCCUCCAAGCUUUGCACAAAUGUGAAAAGGCGGGGGCUGAGAUCCAAAGGGAGCCAGCACCACACCCCUCCCAUCGCUGCAGGCAGAAUAAACUCUCAAGUUAACCUUAGCCGACCUCCUUUGUGCGUGGAUCUCAGAGGUAAAGCACUUGCAAUUGGGUGCUCGGCCUUUGCACCUGCCCUCUGCUUUCUGCGAGGACCUGGAGACCUCUCCAAAUGGAUCGGGAGCCAGAAACGUGUCUUAACCAGGAUGUGAGGCUGUUUUCUUACUCCAUCCCAAGUUUUGAAAGUCUUGACAACAGAGAAUAAGCGCCUGUCUGUUAGGAAUACACAAGCAGCAAGUGAAUUAACCGUCCUUUGUCCCCAUAGCACCUGCCAAAGUUGGACUUAAGAAUUUCCCUGCUGGAUCUGAGACUCUUGAGAGUCCCAUGGACUUCAAGAAGAUCAAACCUCUCCAUUCUGAAGGAAAUCAGCCCUGAGUGCUCACUGGAAGGACAGAUCCUGAAGCUGAGGCUCCAAGACUUUGGCCACCUCAUGAGAAGAGAAGACUCCCUGGAAAAGACCCUGAUGUUGGGAAAGAUGGAGGGCACAAGGAGAAGGGGACGACAGAGGACGAGAUGGUGGGACAGAGAUGGACAGUGACGAGAUGACGAGAUGGACAGUGUUCUCGAAGCUACCAGCAUGAGUUUGACCAAACUGCGGGAGGCAGUGGAAGACAGGAGUGCCUGGCGUGCUCUGGUCCAUGGGGUCACGAAGGGGCGGACACGACUAAACGACUAAACAACAACAACCUAGCAUCUUCUUCUUGGGUGAGGUGUGUACCAGAUUUCUUUGGGACGCUUGCCAGCAGCACCUGAGCAGGGCAGCAGCUCUCCCC